Bactrocera oleae (olive fruit fly) is the source of this 1289-nucleotide non-coding RNA. The record is from RefSeq and is a predicted model, not a curated record. NCBI's taxonomy places the organism in Eukaryota, Metazoa, Arthropoda, Insecta, Diptera, Tephritidae.
AUAAAAAAUGUGGACUUUUACAGCACUCUCUCGAUUCAAAGAGUUUCGGAUCAUAUUAUCCAUGUAUGGCAUUACUCACUGAAGACUGUAAUCACCGGUGCUCCAAAAUUUGUUUGGAAGAAAAAAUCUCGUGUAUGUCUUGCUCGCUACGGAUUUCACCCUUUUAUGUUCCAACUAAGUGGGGUCGCUAUGGCUUUCUAAAGUUUUUUUGCUUGGGCUGAAGACUCCAUUCAUCACUUCUUAAUUUUUACAGUGAGGUCAAUUUAUUUUUAAUUUUAAGUUUUUACGAUUUUUGAAUACUUAGGAUAUCUUUACUAAUUGCAUAUGUAUGUAUUCUUGAAAAUAUGUACAAUGUUUUUAAAUCCAGCUAGUUUUCUUACAAAGAUACAGAAUAAUCUGGCUCAUAUUCACUGUGGUAAUACAUAUGUACAUAUCUUUCAAUCUUUAUAGAGAAAUAAAACAAAAAUAACUCCUUAAUCUAACAAAUAUUUUCAAUAUUUUAAGGCCGUUGCACUAAUUAGGCGUGCUGAGGGUAUAGUAACACUUGUUUUAUUAACUCUGAAAUCGGAGGAAGCUCUAAAAGCCGAAAAAGAUGCUGCAGAAAAGAAAAAAGAAGAAGCAAAAAUAGAAGCUGAAAAACCACAGGAUCCUUCCGUUGCGGAAAUAAAAGUCAACAAGAAAAUCCUUAUUGAAUUGAAAAUUGAAAAGAAACCUCUUGGAGUAAUUGUUGUUGGAGGCAAGAACAACCAAGUCAAGACCGGAUGCGUUAUAACCCACAUCUAUCCAGAUGGAGCGAUAGCAGCAGAUAAACGCCUAAAUAUUUUCGACCACAUAGUGGAAGUUAACAGCAAGCCAGUGAAUUGCAGUGAAAUGACGACGUUAAAAGUGCACCAAAUAUUCCACACAACGUACGAGAAAGUUGUAACAUUCCAAGUAUUUCGUGCUGACCCGUUUGAGGUAGAAAAGUUAAAUAUCGAAUUUAUAAAGAAACCAGGAAAAGACUUGGGACUUUCAUUAGCACCAAAUGAACGCGGCUGCACAAUUUCCGAAAUUAUACCUUCUGGCUACGCUGAGAUUGAUAAUAAGUUACAACGUGGUGAUAUCAUAACCAAAUUCAAUGGUGAUUCUUUGGACGGAUGCACUUUUGAAAUAUGCUACGCCUUAUUCAAAGGAGCCAACGGAAAAAUUUCAAUGGAAAUUACAAGACCUAAACCUACAUGUCGCACUGAAGCGUCCAAAUAAUUGAAAUAAAAAACAUUUGUAUAUUACAUUUAAAUGUAAUUUAAAUA